Gorilla gorilla gorilla (western lowland gorilla) is the source of this 102-nucleotide unclassified non-coding RNA. It matches the Rfam family "Y RNA". Rfam says of the family: Y RNAs are components of the Ro ribonucleoprotein particle (Ro RNP), in association with Ro60 and La proteins. The Y RNAs and Ro60 and La proteins are well conserved, but the function of the Ro RNP is not known. The record is from Ensembl. NCBI's taxonomy places the organism in Eukaryota, Metazoa, Chordata, Mammalia, Primates, Hominidae.
GGCUGGUCCGAGUGCAGUGGUGUUUACAACUCAUUGAUCACAACCAGUUACAGAUUUCUUUGUUCCUUCUCCACUCCCACUGCUUCAUUUGACUAGUCUUAA